GGAUUAGAUACCCUGGUAGUCCACGCUGUAAACGAUGAGAACUGGGUGUUGGGACGGUUGGCGUCUCGGUGCCGAAGUCAACGCGAUAAGUUCUCCGCCUGGGGAGUACGGCCGCAAGGUUGAAACUCAAAGGAAUUGACGGGGGCCCGCACAAGCGGUGGAGCAUGUGGUUUAAUUCGAUGCAACGCGAAGAACCUUACCUGCCCUUGACAUCCUCGGAACCGCUGAGAGAUCGGCGGGUGCCUUCGGGAACCGAGUGACAGGUGCUGCAUGGCUGUCGUCAGCUCGUGUCG
RNAcentral lists this ribosomal RNA (293 nucleotides) under uncultured bacterium. RNAcentral describes it as "partial 16S ribosomal RNA". It matches the Rfam family "Bacterial small subunit ribosomal RNA", at positions 775 to 1067 of the family's 1533-position model. The record is from RNAcentral.